CACUAUGCCUAGCCCUAAACAUAGAUAAUAAUUUACCUACUUUAUCCGCCCGGGUACUACGAGCAUCAGCUUAAAACCCAAAGGACUUGGCGGUGCUUUAGAUCCACCUAGAGGAGCCUGUUCUAGAACCGAUAAUCCCCGUUAAACCUCACCUUUCCUUGUCUUAUCUGCCUAUAUACCGCCGUCGUCAGCUUACUCUGUGAAGAAUUUGUAGUAAGCAUAAUUGGCACAGCCCAAAACGCCAGGUCGAGGUGUAGCGAAUGGAAAGGGAAGAAAUGGGCUACAUUCAAUAUUAAUAAUGAAUACGAAUGAUACCUUGAAAAAGGUAUCUGAAGGAGGAUUUAGUAGUAAGCAAAGAAUAGAGCGCUAUGCUGAAACCGGCCCUGAAGCGCGUACACACCGCCCGUCACUCUCCCCGAGCUAACUUAACAAUAUUACUAAUAAGCAAUAACUGUAAAGGGGAGGCAAGUCGUAA
RNAcentral lists this ribosomal RNA (475 nucleotides) under Labroides dimidiatus (bluestreak cleaner wrasse). RNAcentral's name for it is "partial small subunit ribosomal RNA". It matches the Rfam family "Bacterial small subunit ribosomal RNA", at positions 788 to 1491 of the family's 1533-position model. Lineage: Eukaryota; Metazoa; Chordata; Actinopteri; Labriformes; Labridae. The record is from RNAcentral.